Molecule: ribosomal RNA, 474 nt
Filed under: Micrococcineae bacterium CL6.34
Lineage: Bacteria; Bacillati; Actinomycetota; Actinomycetes; Micrococcales
Description: bacterial SSU rRNA
Rfam family: Bacterial small subunit ribosomal RNA
Source: RNAcentral
CCCUGGCUCAGGACGAACGCUGGCGGCGUGCUUAACACAUGCAAGUCGAACGGUGAUGGCCAGCUUGCUGGUCUGAUCAGUGGCGAACGGGUGAGUAACACGUGAGCAACCUACCCCAGACUCUGGAAUAACCAUGGGAAACGAUGGCUAAUACCGGAUACGAGACGCACACGCAUGUGUGGUGUCUGGAAAGAUUUAUCGGUCUGGGAUGGGCUCGCGGCCUAUCAGCUUGUUGGUGGGGUAGUGGCCUACCAAGGCGACGACGGGUAGCCGGCCUGAGAGGGCGACCGGCCACACUGGGACUGAGAUACGGCCCAGACUCCUACGGGAGGCAGCAGUGGGGAAUAUUGCACAAUGGGCGCAAGCCUGAUGCAGCGACGCCGCGUGAGGGAUGACGGCCUUCGGGUUGUAAACCUCUUUCAGCAGGGAAGAAGCGAAAGUGACGGUACCUGCAGAAGAAGCGCCGGCUAACUA